UGACGUUGAGCAAAUCCCAGAAAUAACGUCCCAGUUCGGAUUGUAGUCUGCAACCCGACUACAUGAAGCUGGAAUCGCUAGUAAUCGCGAAUCAGAAUGUCGCGGUGAAUACGUUCCCGGGUCUUGUACACACCGCCCGUCACACCAUGGGAGUCGGAAAUGCCCGAAGUCAGUGACCCAACCGUAAGGAGGGAGCUGCCGAAGGUGGAGCCGGUAACUGGGGUGAAGUCGUAACAAGGUAAC
RNAcentral lists this ribosomal RNA (243 nucleotides) under uncultured bacterium. RNAcentral's name for it is "partial 16S ribosomal RNA". It matches the Rfam family "Bacterial small subunit ribosomal RNA", at positions 1258 to 1500 of the family's 1533-position model. The record is from RNAcentral.